ACGGCACAACUAUUAAAACCUAACGGAGACGUCCAAAGGUAAGUUCCGAGGGGAAUGGAAACCACUUCGGAGAGUAUAAGGGCAAAAGGCUUGCUUUAGUUAUUAAUGUAAAUUAAUAAUACUGGAAACAGGGGGCCUAGAGAUCCUCUAUGAAACUAAGCAUAGAGGUGACGGAAAAGUUACCACAGGGAUAACUGGCUUGUGGCGGCCGAGCGUCCAUAGCGACGCCGCUUUUUGAUUCUUCGAUGUCGGCUCUUCCGAGCAUGGUGGAGUAUCAGCCACCAAGUGUGUGAUUGUUCACCAACUAACAGGGAACGUGAGCUGGGUUUAGACCGUCGCGAGACAGGUUAGUUUUACCCUACUGCAUCGCGUCCGAGAGUAGGUCGGGGCAGUACGAGAGGAAGUGCCGAUCAGAACCGCUGGUGAUACUUUCGUCUGUUAAGGCGCGAAGUGUAGCUACGUUCUUCUUAUAAUAGCUGAAAGCCUCUAAGCUAGAA
RNAcentral lists this ribosomal RNA (497 nucleotides) under Enterocytozoon bieneusi H348. RNAcentral's name for it is "eukaryotic LSU rRNA". It matches the Rfam family "Eukaryotic large subunit ribosomal RNA", at positions 2630 to 3140 of the family's 3401-position model. The record is from RNAcentral. Lineage: Eukaryota; Fungi; Microsporidia; Enterocytozoonidae.